GACGAACGCUGGCGGCGUGCUUAACACAUGCAAGUCGAACGGAAAGGCCCUGCUUUUGUGGGGCUCUCGAGUGGCGAACGGGUGUGUAACACGUGAGUAACCUGCCCUUGACUUUGGGAUAACUUCAGGAAACUGGGGCUAAUACCGGAUAGGAGCUCCUGCCGCAUGGUGGGGGUUGGAAAGUUUCGGCGGUUGGGGAUGGACUCGCGGCUUAUCAGCUUGUUGGUGGGGUAGUGGCUUACCAAGGCUUUGACGGGUAGCCGGCCUGAGAGGGUGACCGGCGACAUUGGGACUGAGAUACGGCCCAGACUCCUACGGGAGGCAGCAGUGGGGAAUAUUGCACAAUGGGCGGAAGCCUGAUGCAGCAACGCCGCGUGCGGGAUGACGGCCUUCGGGUUGUAAACCGCUUUCGCCUGUGACGAAGCGUGAGUGACGGUAAUGGGUAAAGAAGCACCGGCUAACUACGUG
This 468-nucleotide ribosomal RNA is filed under the name uncultured bacterium. RNAcentral's name for it is "partial 16S ribosomal RNA". It matches the Rfam family "Bacterial small subunit ribosomal RNA", at positions 28 to 507 of the family's 1533-position model. The record is from RNAcentral.